UAUAAACAGACCAUAAAUGUCUUAGAUGUUAUUUUCUUGGAAAGCUGUGAGUGCUAUUAUAUGAUACAAUAUCAGUACUUGUGUUUUAAACUUGUCUAAGUCCUAUCAUCAACUGAUUUGAGCCAGUCUAUGGCUGUGUGUAGACUGCAUUGUUUGAAUUGAGUGUUAGCACAGUGGCAGUUAAUUUGAAAAAUUACUGUAAUCAUUCCUCUAAAACUGUCUGGCUAGCUAACAUAUAUACAGUGCGGAUACAUUUGUCACAUUUAUUGUUUUACACAUUAUCUUAUCACAGCACUGACGAACCAUGGUUGGCCAACUCCCUCACCAACAUGGCUGACCUUUGGACCAUCAUGAGAAGGUUCAUGUCCAUUCUACUAUUCUAAUUCCUAUGUUGAAUAACCCCUUUUGGUUCCAGGUAGAAGAACCUGUCCGGUUCCAGGUAGAACCCUUUUGGGUUCCAUGUCCAAUCCUUUUCAAAGAGGGUUCGACCUGGAACCAAAAGGGCGUCUCCUAUGGGGACAGCCGCAAAACCUUUUUGGAACCCUUUUUUCGAGUAGUGUAGAUAUCAUAAAUUGAAACGUCCUUCCUACUUACCCGAUCGACUACCAAUGUUGUUCUUCUGCGAGCUGCUCCAUGAGACAACCAGUUGAGAGCUGCAGGCUGUGGCUGCCUGACAGAUGAUAUUCCGCUGAAACUAGGGCUCAAGAUCAACAGAGGUGACUAAUGGAGACUGUCUGGAGAGAAGCAAGGGUCUUCGGCCUGCCAGGAAGAGAAGGUUCCAGAGUCCUGAUAUCUUUCUCUCUCUCUUGUUUGGAGCCUGCCCAGAAACGGAAUUAUCAUUCAGUUUGACCAGCCAGACAUAUUCCCUGGUUCACAAGAACAAGGCCAUCUCUAGUCUUUGAAGUCACUAUGCAACUUAAAUAAAAGUUUCUUUGAUGUGCCGAAUAUGAAUAUGUUUGUUGCCGUAGAGAGAUGGAACAUGGGACAUUACAGAGGUAAUAUGUAUUUGUGUUAUAAUUGAUUUUUUUUAUAUAUUAUGACAGGACACUGGAUAUAGAUAUAGAUAGACUUAGGGUAUAGACAUAGAUAGGCAUUGACAAUUUGGUGUGUUACAGUAUUUGUUCCUCUAUCUAGUUCCCUUCCCCCCUCUUUCAAUAUUGGUACAACACAAUGGUUGCUCACCCACAGCCCCAGAUUCCAAGAGGUAGUUUAGUUUACUGUAGCCCAGGGCCAGGCACCUACUGUUAAAGUUUACCUUUGUCAAAAAUUAAAUGUGCUUUUGUGUGUCUUUACUCUACAUGUCCCACCUCACUAGUGAAUUGUUACUAAAUGUGAUCAUGGAUUGGAGAAAUAAAACAAGAUCCUAAAUAA
Oncorhynchus tshawytscha (Chinook salmon) is the source of this 1371-nucleotide long non-coding RNA. RefSeq lists it as uncharacterized. The record is from RefSeq and is a predicted model, not a curated record. The transcript is spliced from 2 exons. NCBI's taxonomy places the organism in Eukaryota, Metazoa, Chordata, Actinopteri, Salmoniformes, Salmonidae.